Molecule: transfer RNA, 73 nt
Filed under: Candidatus Melainabacteria bacterium
Lineage: Bacteria; Bacillati; Candidatus Melainabacteria
Also listed under: 2 other names
Description: tRNA-Ala
Rfam family: tRNA
About the family: Transfer RNA (tRNA) molecules are approximately 80 nucleotides in length. Their secondary structure includes four short double-helical elements and three loops (D, anti-codon, and T loops). Further hydrogen bonds mediate the characteristic L-shaped molecular structure. tRNAs have two regions of fundamental functional importance: the anti-codon, which is responsible for specific mRNA codon recognition, and the 3' end, to which the tRNAs corresponding amino acid is attached (by aminoacyl-tRNA synthetases). tRNAs cope with the degeneracy of the genetic code in two manners: having more than one tRNA (with a specific anti-codon) for a particular amino acid; and 'wobble' base-pairing, i.e. permitting non-standard base-pairing at the 3rd anti-codon position.
Source: RNAcentral
GGGGGAUUAGCUCAGUUGGUAGAGCACCUGCUUUGCACGCAGGGGGUCAGGAGUUCGAGCCUCCUAUCCUCCA